GAUGAACGCUGGCGGCGUGCCUAAUACAUGCAAGUCGAGCGAACGGACGAGAAGCUUGCUUCUCUGAUGUUAGCGGCGGACGGGUGAGUAACACGUGGAUAACCUACCUAUAAGACUGGGAUAACUUCGGGAAACCGGAGCUAAUACCGGAUAAUAUUUUGAACCGCAUGGUUCAAAAGUGAAAGACGGUCUUGCUGUCACUUAUAGAUGGAUCCGCGCUGCAUUAGCUAGUUGGUAAGGUAACGGCUUACCAAGGCAACGAUGCAUAGCCGACCUGAGAGGGUGAUCGGCCACACUGGAACUGAGACACGGCCCAGACUCCUACGGGAGGCAGCAGUAGGGAAUCUUCCGCAAUGGGCGAAAGCCUGACGGAGCAACGCCGCGUGAGUGAUGAAGGUCUUCGGAUCGUAAAACUCUGUUAUUAGGGAAGAACAUAUGUGUAAGUAACUGUGCACAUCUUGACGGUACCUAAUCAGAAAGCCACGGCUAACUACGUGCCAGCAGCCGCGGUAAUACGUAGGUGGCAAGCGUUAUCCGGAAUUAUUGGGCGUAAAGCGCGCGUAGGCGGUUUUUUAAGUCUGAUGUGAAAGCCCACGGCUCAACCGUGGAGGGUCAUUGGAAACUGGAAAACUUGAGUGCAGAAGAGGAAAGUGGAAUUCCAUGUGUAGCGGUGAAAUGCGCAGAGAUAUGGAGGAACACCAGUGGCGAAGGCGACUUUCUGGUCUGUAACUGACGCUGAUGUGCGAAAGCGUGGGGAUCAAACAGGAUUAGAUACCCUGGUAGUCCACGCCGUAAACGAUGAGUGCUAAGUGUUAGGGGGUUUCCGCCCCUUAGUGCUGCAGCUAACGCAUUAAGCACUCCGCCUGGGGAGUACGACCGCAAGGUUGAAACUCAAAGGAAUUGACGGGGACCCGCACAAGCGGUGGAGCAUGUGGUUUAAUUCGAAGCAACGCGAAGAACCUUACCAAAUCUUGACAUCCUUUGACAACUCUAGAGAUAGAGCUUUCCCCUUCGGGGGACAAAGUGACAGGUGGUGCAUGGUUGUCGUCAGCUCGUGUCGUGAGAUGUUGGGUUAAGUCCCGCAACGAGCGCAACCCUUAAGCUUAGUUGCCAUCAUUAAGUUGGGCACUCUAAGUUGACUGCCGGUGACAAACCGGAGGAAGGUGGGGAUGACGUCAAAUCAUCAUGCCCCUUAUGACUUGGGCUACACACGUGCUACAAUGGACAAUACAAAGGGCAGCGAAACCGCGAGGUCAAGCAAAUCCCAUAAAGUUGUUCUCAGUUCGGAUUGUAGUCUGCAACUCGACUACAUGAAGCUGGAAUCGCUAGUAAUCGUAGAUCAGCAUGCUACGGUGAAUACGUUCCCGGGUCU
This 1372-nucleotide ribosomal RNA is filed under the name uncultured bacterium. Its description in RNAcentral is "bacterial SSU rRNA". It matches the Rfam family "Bacterial small subunit ribosomal RNA", at positions 28 to 1381 of the family's 1533-position model. The record is from RNAcentral.